AGUUACACAUUCAGGAAAUGGCCAAUUCAUUGGCAGCAUGCCCACUGCUAGGCCCACGGCGAUGUCAAGAACUGUUUUUACAGUGAUUUCGCCGUCUGUAACCAAGGGGAAAACAGUGCACACACAACACAGUAAGCUAGGACAUCGACAUCUAGCAACUUUUGCUGUUCUAUAUUGACAUCCGAGGGGAAGGAAAACGGUCCAACUGGUUGCUAGCUUAGUGGUUAGCUAGCUACCGCUAACUCCACAAUCAGCGCUUUGCUGCAGCCACACAGACGGGGCUAGUUCGCUGUCUACGGUGCUGAAGUUGAUCAUAUUUGCGUUGCAGCCAUAAACCAAGGAGUAGCUAAUAAUAUGAGCGUCAACACCGUCCCCUGCACCGUGAAGCCUACUGUCACCUUGCAGAUUGGAGAUGCUGAGACUGAUUCAUCUCGUCCCGGUGUCUAUGUCAUAGACGUUACACUUCCUAUAGGACAGACUGUCAACAUCCAGGAGAUCUCCUUUAAGAACUACUACACAGCAUACGUGUCUGUGCGUCUACUGAGGAGAGAUGGGGAGGGGGCCGCUAAAUGGGCUACAUGUCUGAGGAACCACUGUCUGAUGCCCAGCCCACAUACUGAAGAGGGUUCACAAGACUACUGCUCUGUCUUCCGACAACAGAUGCUGAUUGAACCAGACAAUGUGACUUCAGUGAGACUGAUCCUUCGACAGCCUUCAUCAGCCUGGCUGAAUUUCAGCGUGGAGGACAUCAAAAUACACCCCUGUUUAAAUGAAGAUUCAGAGUGGGACAUUCCCGAUUGGUUGUCAGACCUCACACAGGUGGACCAACUGUGUGAUUUACAGGGUCUUCCAGAUCCUCAGACGGUAUCUUCCAGUAUUCAGCAGAUGUGGGCGUUAACAGAGGUCAUGCAGACCAACCAGACCACUGCUUCCAUAGGCCGCUUCGAUGUUGAUGGCUGCUACGAUAUCAACUUGCUGUCCUUCACUUAACAAGGAAUUGACUGGAGGUUAAUUUUACAUGGUGUUGGUAAAAUGUGACGAUCAUCAUUAUCUCUUAAUUGCCUGACGAUGUUAUAUUUAAGUUUUAUGAAAAGUAUGUAUAUUUAUUUGUAAAACACUGUAAACUUUAUUUUUUUAUAUUUUUUUUUGUAAACACCUAGGCCACCUUUGCCACUCAUGAUUGUAACAUUGUUUAUAAUACAAGUCCAAUAGAACUGAGAUGCAUGGUGGCCUUCAGCCAGAUGAGGACAGUAGUGCUUCUUGAAUGAGACCAAGGAGACACUGUUAACUAACUAUUUGAGGUGUGGCUAUAGCAUGCUGGCUGGGGUUCUGGGUGGUUUGCAGUCUCCAAUUCUCUUUUUUGUAUUUAAAUAAAAUGUUUUUUAUUUUUUUAACUAGGCAAGUCAGUUAUUGUUAUUUACAAUGACAGCCAACCCCGGCCAAACCCUAACCGGGACGACACUGGGACUCCCAAUCACGGCCGGUUGUGAUACAGCCAGGAAUCUAACCAGGGUCUGUAGUGAUGCCUCUAGCACUGAGAUGCAGUGCCUUAGACCGCUGCGCCACGCUCGAGGCCAGGAUAUAGCAUGCUGGCUGGUGUUCUAUCUACAAUUCUCUUAUUGGUGUUUCAGUGGCAGUAUCUAUGACAUAUUGGAGGUCUGUGUUCUGCAGUCUGUCUGUCCUGGAUGUAAAAUAUUGGAGGUCCCUGUUCUGCAGUCUGUCUGUCUUGGAUGUACAGAUUCCUUUCGAAGAUACACUACAUUACCAAAAAUAUCUGGACACCUGCUUGUCGAACAUCUCAUUCCAAAAUCAUGGGUGUUAAUAUGGAGUUGGUCCCCCUUUGCUGCUACAACAGCCUCCACUCUUCUGGGAAGGCUUUCCACUUGGUGUUGGAACAUUGCUGCGGGGACUUGCUUCCAUUCAGCCACAAGAGUAUUAGUGUUGGGUGAUUAGGCCUGGCUCGCAGUCGGCGUUCCAAUUUAUCCCAAAGUUGUUUGAUGGGGUUGAGGUCAGAACUGUGUGCAGGCCAGUCAAGUUCUUCCACACUGAUCUAGACAAACCAUUUCUGUAUGGACCUUGCUGUCAUGCUGAAACAGGAAAUGGCCACAAAGUUGGAAGCACAGAAUUGUCUAAAAUGUAAUUGUGUUCUGUAGAAAUGUUCCUUCGCUGGAACUAAUGGGCCAAGACUGAAUCAUGAAAAACAUCCCCAGACCAUUAUAUAUAUAUAUAUAUAUAUAUAGAGAGAGAGAGAGAGAGAGAGAGAGAGAGAGAGAGAGAUUAUUUAUGUAUUUAUGGACAGAUCAUUUCUGGGUCAUGAAUCUGCACUGCAAUCCUUUAUUCAGAUGACAAGACCUCUCCCAAUUGUGACCCUUAUUCCCCUAUAUCAGUGGUUCUCAAUCCUGGUCCUGGGGACCCAAAGGGGUGCACAUUUUAGUUUUUGCCCUAGCACUACACACCUGAUUCAAAUCAACAACUCCCAGGACCAGGGUUGAGAACCACUGCCUUAUAUAGUGCACACUUUUUUUACCAAGGUCCCAUAGGGCUCUGAUCAAAAGUAAUGUACUAUAUAGAAAAUAGGGCACCAUUUGUGAAGCACCCCUGAUAAGUUAUUAGAAUGGCCUUGAUGUACUACAUGUAGCCUAGUGGUUAGAGCGUUGUGCCAGUAACCAAAAGGUUGCUGGAUCAAAUCCCCGAAGCUGACAAGGUAAAAAAAAAAAAAAGCUGUCGUUCUGCCCCUGAACAAGGCAGUUAACCCACUGUUCCUACGCCGUCAUUGUAAAUAAGAAUUUAUUCUUAACUGACUUGCCUAGUUAAAUAAUAAAUGUGCUUCUUGGAUAGCAUUAAAAUGGGAUUAGCCUUUCUCCCUGUGGAUUAAGUGCCUGACACAGUCAGGCUCAUCCUCUCCUCACGCUGUCACAUACAGUAAUGAAUCACCCAGGCCGGAUCCCAAAUGGCACCAUCUUUUCCCUUUGUAGUGCACUACUUUUGACCAGGGUCUAUAGGUGCAAUUCAGGUUGCAGUCCAAGUCAUAUUUCAUGCAAUUCUUUCUACCUUUUUUUCAGUAGGUGAAACAAGAAAGGUUGAAUGGAUCUACAUUAUUACAGAGAGGCUACAGUAUUACAGAGAGAGGCUACAGUAUUACAGAGAGAGGCUACAUUAUUACAGAGAGAGGCUACAGUAUUACAGAGAGAGGCUACAGUAUUACAGAGAGAGGCUACAUUAUUACAGAGAGAGGCUACAGUAUUACAGAGAGAGGCUACAGUAUUACAGAGAGAGGCUACAGUAUUACAGAGAGAGGCUACAUUAUUACAGAGAGAGGCUACAGUAUUACAGAGAGAGGCUACAUUAUUACAGAGAGAGGCUACAGUAUUACAGAGAGAGGCUACAGUAUUACAGAGAUAGGCUACAUUAUUACAGAGAGAGGCUACAGUAUUACAGAGAGAGGCUACAUUAUUACAGAGAGAGGCUACAUUAUUACAGAGAGAGGCUGCAGUAUUACAGAGAGAGUCUGCAGUAAUACAGAGAGAGGCUACAGUAUUACAGAGAGAGGCUGCAUUAUUACAGAGAGAGGCUACAGUAUUACAGAGAGAGGCUACAGUAUUACAGAGAGAGUCUACAGUAUUACAGAGAGAGGCUACAGUAUUACAGAGAGAGGCUACAGUAUUACAGGGGAGAGGCAUCUAAGCAAAAUAAACUAAGGCUUUAAAGAACCAGAGAAUUUUAAGGUUUAACAGAACAAGAGUUGAUUUAUGAAAGUUGAGGUCACUCCGUUGUUAAUGUUGAAAAUUACGAAUCGUUCAUCAUAUAAUAAAGUUAGUUCGUAGAUCACAGAGCAGCUUUGCAUUUUCAUUUGCAUUUGAUUCUCUCUGUGAGAAACUACACACCCAGUUAGCACAGGAUGUUGAAAAUAAGUAUUUUCAACAUCUUUUGCUCAUAGGGCAGGACUUAGUUGGUGUGAUAUUUCCCAUAACUAUCUACUAACAACUAUAAACUGGGUGGUUCGAGCCCUGAAUGCUGAUUGGCUGACGGUCGUGUUAUAUCAGACUGUAUACUCAGACUGUAUACCACGGGUAUGACAAAACAUUUAUUUUUACUGCUCUAAUUACAUUGGUAACCAGUUUAUAAUAGCAAUAAGGCACCUCUGGGUUUUGUAGUGUAUGUGGCAAAUACUUUUUCACAGCACUGUAUAUAUAUUAAAAUAUAUAUUAAAAUUUGUUUGAUCUGAAACAUUCAAGUUUGACAAACGUGCAAAAAAUAAGAAAUCAGGAAGGGGGCAAAUACUUUUUCACAGCAUUGUGUGUAUAUAUCUUUUUUUUAACCUUUAUUUAACUAGGCAAGUCAGUUAAGAACAAAUUCUUAUUUACAAUGACAGCCUACCACGGCUCAAGGCUGUAUCCAGUCACUCCACGUUUUGUCGUGCAUAAGAACAGCUCUUAGCUGUGGUAUAUUGACCGUAUACUAUACCUCCUUGUGCCUUAUUGCUUAAAUAACAAAUGCGAACGAAAAAUAUGAACAAUGAAAUAAAUUCUCCUUUCAAGAAAUCUAAAACA
Molecule: non-coding RNA, 4550 nt
Organism: Salmo salar (Atlantic salmon)
Lineage: Eukaryota; Metazoa; Chordata; Actinopteri; Salmoniformes; Salmonidae
Source: RefSeq, a predicted model, not a curated record